This 469-nucleotide ribosomal RNA is filed under the name uncultured organism. Its description in RNAcentral is "partial 16S ribosomal RNA". It matches the Rfam family "Bacterial small subunit ribosomal RNA", at positions 335 to 796 of the family's 1533-position model. The record is from RNAcentral.
ACUCCUGCGGGAGGCAGCAGUGGGGAAUAUUGCACAAUGGGCGCAAGCCUGAUGCAGCCAUGCCGCGUGUAUGAAGAAGGCCUUCGGGUUGUAAAGUACUUUCAGCGGGGAGGAAGGCGAUAAGGUUAAUAACCUUGUUGAUUGACGUUACCCGCAGAAGAAGCACCGGCUAACUCCGUGCCAGCAGCCGCGGUAAUACGGAGGGUGCAAGCGUUAAUCGGAAUUACUGGGCGUAAAGCGCACGCAGGCGGUCUGUCAAGUCGGAUGUGAAAUCCCCGGGCUCAACCUGGGAACUGCAUUCGAAACUGGCAGGCUAGAGUCUUGUAGAGGGGGGUAGAAUUCCAGGUGUAGCGGUGAAAUGCGUAGAGAUCUGGAGGAAUACCGGUGGCGAAGGCGGCCCCCUGGACAAAGACUGACGCUCAGGUGCGAAAGCGUGGGGAGCAAACAGGAUUAGAUACCCCUGUAGUCC